This 245-nucleotide ribosomal RNA is filed under the name uncultured bacterium. RNAcentral describes it as "partial 16S ribosomal RNA". It matches the Rfam family "Bacterial small subunit ribosomal RNA", at positions 355 to 592 of the family's 1533-position model. The record is from RNAcentral.
UAGGGAAUCUUCCACAAUGGACGCAAGUCUGAUGGAGCAACGCCGCGUGAGUGAAGAAGGUCUUCGGAUCGUAAAGCUCUGUUGUUGGUGAAGAAGGAUAGAGGCAGUAACUGGUCUUUAUUUGACGGUAAUCAACCAGAAAGUCACGGCUAACUACGUGCCAGCAGCCGCGGUAAUACGUAGGUGGCAAGCGUUGUCCGGAUUUAUUGGGCGUAAAGCGAGCGCAGGCGGAAUGAUAAGUCUGA